Molecule: ribosomal RNA, 867 nt
Filed under: Triticum aestivum (bread wheat)
Lineage: Eukaryota; Viridiplantae; Streptophyta; Magnoliopsida; Poales; Poaceae
Description: partial small subunit ribosomal RNA
Source: RNAcentral
AUGAUACAAAUAAAACUCAAACACAAUAUGAGAGCAAAAUCUGAUUCAUGGUUCUCUGAUUUUCUUUUGAGAAUUGGAAAUGGUACUGAAGAAUCAAUUGGUGAAGACUAUGUGCGGCUACCUGAAGAGAUAGUUAUAGGUUACACAAAUUCAAAAGCGGCUGUUACUAAGUUGAUCGAUGAUGUAUUUCCAUCACUUAAUGAGAAUGGUAGAUCAUCAUCUUACAUAAGUUCCCGUGCCAUUCUUUCCACUAAAAAUGAAUAUGUGGACGAACUAAAUGCAAUGCUUAUCGACCAAUUUCCUGGAGAAGAAAAAAUAUACUACAGUUUUGACUCAGCAGUGGAUGAUACACACAAUCACUACCCACCUGAAUACCUAAAUUCUCUCACACCUAAUGGCCUGCCUCCACAUGUUCUUAGAUUGAAUAUCAAUUGUCCGGUCAUCUUGCUUCGAAAUUUAGAUCCAUCUAAUGGGCUAUGCAAUGGCACAAGGCUCAUUAUUAGGGCAUUUCAAGGUAAUGUUAUUGAUGCAGAGAUUAUUGGAGGACAACAUUCUGGAAAACAAGUUUUUCUUCCACGAAUUCCUAUGUACCCUUCUGAGGAUGACGUGCUUCCGUUUAAAUUCACAAGAAAGCAAUUUCCUAUUCGUCUUAGCUUUGCAAUGACAAUCAAUAAAGCUCAGGGUCAAACGAUUCCAAAUGUUGGCAUCUACCUUCCGGAACCUGUAUUUUCUCAUGGUCAGCUUUAUGUUGCUUUGUCUAGAGGGAUAUCAAGGCAAACGACAAGAAUACUUGCCAAGCCAGACAAGGAUAUCGACCCAUCAGGGAAAAGUACUAAAAAUAUUGUCUAUAAGGAUGUUUUGAUGUGA